AGGACGAACGCUGGCGGCGUGCUUAACACAUGCAAGUCGAGCGGAAAGGCCCUUCGGGGUACUCGAGCGGCGAACGGGUGAGUAACACGUGGGCAACCUGCCCCUAGCUCUGGGAUAACUCCGGGAAACCGGUGCUAAUACCGGAUAUGACCUCAUUAGGCAUCCUUUGAGGUGGAAAGAUUUAUUGGCUAGGGAUGGGCCCGCGGCCUAUCAGCUUGUUGGUGGGGUAAUGGCCUACCAAGGCGACGACGGGUA
Molecule: ribosomal RNA, 255 nt
Filed under: uncultured bacterium
Lineage: Bacteria
Description: partial small subunit ribosomal RNA
Rfam family: Bacterial small subunit ribosomal RNA
Source: RNAcentral